Molecule: long non-coding RNA, 3078 nt
Organism: Anneissia japonica
Lineage: Eukaryota; Metazoa; Echinodermata; Crinoidea; Comatulida; Comatulidae
Exons: 2
Source: RefSeq, a predicted model, not a curated record
GUUGUUUGCCUGGAGUUGAAAGCUAUGUUAUGACUGUAGCAUUUUGCAGUUUAUUAGGAGCAUGGGUAGGAGCCGUACCAAUACCACUUGACUGGGAUAGGCCAUGGCAGGUAUGGCCUAUAUCUUGCUCAAUUGGGGUGGUGAUUGGACAUGGAACAGGGCUCCUUCUCUGUACCGCCCACGCUGGCUUCAAUGUUCUUCAACAAUUUAGACGAGGAAAGUCAAAACUGUUCUAGGAUUCUAAGGUGCAGCUAUUUAAAUACAGUAGAACCCCAUCCUUUGGGACACCCCUAAUAUUGGGAACACUUUUUCAGCCACUGAAUGAGGGAAAGUAUAUCGCACUAUGACUAACCGCUAUUCAGGAUGCACCCCUACUACGGGGACAGUUUUUUGUUCUCAAAGGUGUCCACUUAAUAGGGGUUCUACUGUAUAAAUAACUAUAAUGAAUACACACACCUAUUACAAAUGUGGUAAAGCUUUUUAAACCUUGUAUGGCAAACAUCAUAUUUAUAACUUUCUGUAAGAAGGCGAGAAAAAAAUUAUCUGAAAUUUCCAGUUUUAUAUGGCAAUGGUAUGCUAACAAUAUUAAAUGAUUACUUUUGCUUGGUGGUACGUUCGCAAAACAAGGUGUAGAGAGUCUUACCAAAUUUGGAUACAUAAUUUUUUACUAAGGGUAGAUAACACAAACCAUGACAUAUACAGUAUAGUAUGUAUACAGUUAAGUUAUUAAUAAAAAAUAGUGUGUAAAAGCAUAAAUUAAAAUCAUAACCACCCAGACAUUUCCAAUUACAAUUAUUAUUUUAGUGAAAAUGUUAAGCUUUUUUUUUUUGGGUGUGGUGGGGUGGGGGAGGGGUUUGGAAUAAAAGUUAUACAAAAAGGUGUGAAAUACACAUGAAUAAUCAUUUUUAGUAAAUAUUUUAUCUUUAUGAAAACUCACCAAUCUCAACAUUAGGAAAUAGAUGGCUGUACUUGCAACAUUUUUAGAAUCCUGGAUGUUAAUAAUAGAGCAAAAUAAUUACACACACUCACAUUUUUAGAAGCUUAGAGCUAAAACGAUUGUAAAUAAAAUGCACACACAAUGAACUGAAUGUAUCCACACACUCCUGCAACCAGUGUUCAGGUGAACAUACGUGGUGCAUUGCUAGGCUAUCAAAUGAUAUUCAUAUUAUGUUUGUUUAUGCAUUUUAAAUGUCAUUGAAUAUAACACCAGUAUAUACUUAUAAUUCAUCAAACUAACUAUUAUGAUUAUGUGGAUCAAAGGUGUAGAUGAAUUUAUGACAACAGUUCUUGGAACAUGAAUAACUGCGCCACCUAACAGCCUAUGUUAAACUCAUAGUCUUGAGUAUCCAGAUUGAAGCAUUUCUUCAUCUUUUCUCUAGUAGAGAUCUAGAGUUUUAUACUUCUAUCAAGGUACUCAGUUGUAAAUCCUGCCUCACUGACUGUUCCUUCCUCAGAAAGUAAUUUAUAAAUUUUGUAGUUUAUAGUAAUGCAAUUUAAUAGUUUUUUUUAUGCAAUUUAUCUAAUACUGUUUUACUGGCACUCUUAUAGACCUGGGUCAUUCUGAAUCUAUUCACAUUCAAUUUUGUCUGUAUCUCUCAAUUUUGACAAUAUCUCUUUAUAUAAAGAGUAAAUUAAAAAUAUAAAAUUAUCACAGUUACUCGCAGUAAUAGGGUGAUUUUGCAACUUUAUGUAAAUGAAAACGACCACGUCACAUUUUCGUUUUCAUUAUUGCAGACUAUUUGAGUACAUACAUCUCUCUCUACUCAUGUACCUUUAAAAGCACUUUGAAUCUAUCUUUUGCCCCUUUCGUUGUUAUUUUCACACCUUUUAUUAUUGUUCAUUCGUUGAACUAUCGCCUCCCACUUGACAUCUCUUCCUGCUUAUGUGCCUUUUAAAGCACUUUGAAUCUGUCUUCUGCUCCUGUUGGUUGAAACACAUUUCAUAUCAAGUAACAACAAAUUCUUGUUUCCCGUCCGGUGGUCUUUGAGAACUUGCUGUUUCUUAAGGGAAGCUUCUACACAAAAUUCAAAAUUUUGUUAUUAUUAACUCUACAAAUUCCAAACUUGGUCAGAAUAUAAGGUGGGGUUAAUCAUUUCCUAAAAUAUAAAAUUUGGGUCAAAUGUCACCUAAUUACAGUAGCAUUAUUAUGGCCAAUUUGGCUGGAAAAAGUAGGGUGAAGAUUUGAUGCUCUAACUCCUCCAUCUGUGUAUUAUUUCACAUAAUUUCACUUUAUAUACAUAGUGUGAUGGUGUAGAAUCAUAGUGUCACGCUGAUUGGUGUGUGACUUGAUGAGAGGGUGUAGAGACGAUUACGAUACAAGAAAUAUCUUGACAAGCUUAUAUAUUGUGUGUUUGUAUGGCCAGAUUUUAUUCACAUAUACUCUGCUGUCUGUGCCUCUAUAUCGAAUUCCCUUUUUUAUGCUUCGAGCUCGAGUGCAUCUGCUCUCAUCUAAGUCUCAGCUCAUUCUCCCUAUCCUCUCAGAAUAUUCCCUAAAUAUCUACGAUACCAGGGUAACUAAUCUAGGUUAAGUACGAGCCAUUAAUUAUAGUAAAGAGGUGGGACAUGGACUGGAAUGUUAAUGUCCAUCUGAGAGUAACUGAUAUGGGAAAACUGACCAAGUUCAGGUAUUCAACCUUGGUGAGUUCAUGAGGUGAUUUGAAAGUUCAGGACAGGGCCUUCAAGAACCUGUUACAUCGUGACUAGAGAUAAUUACACAUAAAUACAUUUUUUUUUAUAAUACAUAUGAAUUUUAUUGAAACCAAAUAUUUUUUUUGCCAAAAAACAUGUUUUUUUUUCUCAAAAAUUUAAAAAGUUGAGCCAUAAUUUAAAAAAAAGCCAUGUCACUAUGAUUUUAUACAUCUAAAGAAUACUGUGUGAAAAUUUUAUUCAAUUCGGUAAAUUUUCAGUGAACUUGAGAAAGUUAAAAAAUAUUGCGAAAUGAGAUAUUUGAUUUCAAAAUCCGAGUGUCUUAUUGUUAUCUAUUUUCGAUGUGUUUACAGUUCCUAAUCCAAUAUUUCUUCAAUUGCUGGUCCGUAUUGAUCCCCUUCAAGUUCAAUAAAGCGCUGAUCAUUUGCUGCA